RNAcentral lists this transfer RNA (75 nucleotides) under Shigella sonnei. RNAcentral's name for it is "tRNA-Gln". It matches the Rfam family "tRNA". From Rfam's summary of the family: Transfer RNA (tRNA) molecules are approximately 80 nucleotides in length. The record is from RNAcentral. Lineage: Bacteria; Pseudomonadati; Pseudomonadota; Gammaproteobacteria; Enterobacterales; Enterobacteriaceae.
UGGGGUAUCGCCAAGCGGUAAGGCACCGGAUUCUGAUUCCGGCAUUCCGAGGUUCGAAUCCUCGUACCCCCCCGA